AUUUGUCAUUUCUUCCAUCAGCUGCCACAGUACUAAAAAAGAGGCGAAUGAGUUCAUGUAUCAGUAUCUAUGAUUGGCUCUGGUACAAAUGCCAACAUUUGAUUGGCUCUGUGGCAAUAGACAAGCCAAUAUUUUGUGCCACAGUACUGUGGCAGUAGUCAUUGCCA
Sphaeramia orbicularis (orbiculate cardinalfish) is the source of this 167-nucleotide long non-coding RNA. RefSeq lists it as uncharacterized. The transcript is spliced from 2 exons. The record is from RefSeq and is a predicted model, not a curated record. NCBI's taxonomy places the organism in Eukaryota, Metazoa, Chordata, Actinopteri, Kurtiformes, Apogonidae.